This is a long non-coding RNA of Carassius carassius (crucian carp), 214 nucleotides long. RefSeq lists it as uncharacterized. Lineage: Eukaryota; Metazoa; Chordata; Actinopteri; Cypriniformes; Cyprinidae. The record is from RefSeq and is a predicted model, not a curated record. The transcript has 3 exons.
UUAUAUUUUUUAUGUUGUCAUUUUUGUUGUCUUUUUCCCAGUUUUUCCAGUUGAUGUUCUCAUUUGGAUUUCCCUCUUCAGAGUUUGUUAUUGUGGUAUUUGUUCAAUCACUGAUGCUGUGCUGUAUACCACUUUUAUCUCUUCUGCAAGCAAGAUUUGAAUGUCUUCAGCGCAGAUGGAUAACAAUAUUGUGGAUAAUAAUAGUAACACUCCU